RNAcentral lists this RNase P RNA (503 nucleotides) under Punctularia strigosozonata HHB-11173 SS5. RNAcentral describes it as "Nuclear RNase P". It matches the Rfam family "Nuclear RNase P". Rfam says of the family: Ribonuclease P (RNase P) is a ubiquitous endoribonuclease, found in archaea, bacteria and eukarya as well as chloroplasts and mitochondria. Its best characterised activity is the generation of mature 5'-ends of tRNAs by cleaving the 5'-leader elements of precursor-tRNAs. Cellular RNase Ps are ribonucleoproteins. Lineage: Eukaryota; Fungi; Basidiomycota; Agaricomycetes; Corticiales; Punctulariaceae. The record is from Rfam by way of RNAcentral.
GACGACCGAAAGCCGCGAUACUCGUCCCGCACAGAUGCUCAAACAUCUAGGCUUGCGAGUGGGCUAAGGUCUGAGUAUGCUGCUCCUGGGGUCCAUCCUAUACAUCGACUCUAGCCGGGUCCGCCAUAACAGGCCACGCAACGCACCAGGAAAUCAGCCGACCGAGUGUCGUGUUCCCGACGACGUGCCCGCAGUGGCUCAGUGAUGUUUAUCAUCGCGUCCACUUAGGCAUUGAGGGAUGCUCGUUGCUGGCAUCGGGAGAACGUUGCGGGGCUCGGGCUCAUAGCUACAGAUGCAUCCAUGGUUCCGAUCGUGCAAACGUUGUCCUGGAGGUGCAGGCCCCGCAGGGAAGCCCUUUAGAUUCAUCGUGACCCUUCAUCGCAAGGUGCAGGGACAUGCAGAUGAAGGAAACCGCAGCGGAUGCAUGGCGAUGAGCCCUUCAGUGCACUUCGCGGCGCGUGGAUAACCUCCGCGUAACUCGAUUCAGACUAUUCUUGGUCGUC